This 253-nucleotide ribosomal RNA is filed under the name uncultured bacterium. Its description in RNAcentral is "partial 16S ribosomal RNA". It matches the Rfam family "Bacterial small subunit ribosomal RNA", at positions 524 to 776 of the family's 1533-position model. The record is from RNAcentral.
UACGUAGGGUGCAAGCGUUAAUCGGAAUUACUGGGCGUAAAGCGCACGCAGGCGGUUGGAUAAGUUAGAUGUGAAAGCCCCGGGCUCAACCUGGGAAUUGCAUUUAAAACUGUCCAGCUAGAGUCUUGUAGAGGGGGGUAGAAUUCCAGGUGUAGCGGUGAAAUGCGUAGAGAUCUGGAGGAAUACCGGUGGCGAAGGCGGCCCCCUGGACAAAGACUGACGCUCAGGUGCGAAAGCGUGGGGAGCAAACAGG